This 526-nucleotide ribosomal RNA is filed under the name Alnus hirsuta. RNAcentral describes it as "eukaryotic LSU rRNA". The stretch from base 140 to 295 matches the Rfam family "5.8S ribosomal RNA". Lineage: Eukaryota; Viridiplantae; Streptophyta; Magnoliopsida; Fagales; Betulaceae. The record is from RNAcentral.
GGCAGGGAGACACUCGUGCCUUCCUGUCGAACAACGUACCCCGGCGCGGUCUGCGCCAAGGAACAUGAACGAAAGAGUGCCUCCGGUCGCCUCGGAAACGCUGCGCGCACCGGAGGCGAAUCUUGUCUAGAACCAUAACGACUCUCGGCAACGGAUAUCUCGGCUCUCGCAUCGAUGAAGAACGUAGCGAAAUGCGAUACUUGGUGUGAAUUGCAGAAUCCCGCGAAUCAUCGAGUCUUUGAACGCAAGUUGCGCCCGAAGCCACCUGGCCGAGGGCACGUCUGCCUGGGUGUCACGCAUCGUUGCCCCCAACCCCAUCGCCCUGCAAAGAGGCGGUGGGGGCAUGCGGGGCGGACAUUGGCCUCCCGUGGGCUGAUGCCUGCGGCUGGCCUAAAAACGAGUCCUCGGCGACGAUCGCCACGACAAUCGGUGGUUGACAAACCUUCGUGACCCGUCGUGCGCGCAUCGCCGCUCAACGCGUGCUCUUUUGACCCUGUCGCGUCGCGCUCGCGACGCUUCCAACGCG